RNAcentral lists this ribosomal RNA (306 nucleotides) under uncultured Bacteroidales bacterium. Its description in RNAcentral is "bacterial SSU rRNA". It matches the Rfam family "Bacterial small subunit ribosomal RNA", at positions 28 to 339 of the family's 1533-position model. Lineage: Bacteria; Pseudomonadati; Bacteroidota; Bacteroidia; Bacteroidales. The record is from RNAcentral.
GAUGAACGCUAGCUACAGGCUUAACACAUGCAAGUCGAGGGUAACGGGGGUGCUUGCACCCGCCGACGACCGGCGAAUGGGUGAGUAACGCGUAUCCAACCUGCCCCGUGCCCGGGGAUAGCCCUUAGAAAUGAGGAUUAAGACCCGAUAUGUACUCUUUCCGCAUGGAUGGUGUAUGAAGCAGGCAUGGGAUGGGGAUGCGUUGGAUUAGCUGGUUGGCGGGGUAACGGCCCACCAAGGCAACGAUCCAUAGGGGUUCUGAGAGGAAGGUCCCCCACAUUGGUACUGAGACACGGACCAAACUCC